Molecule: ribosomal RNA, 496 nt
Filed under: uncultured bacterium
Lineage: Bacteria
Description: partial 16S ribosomal RNA
Rfam family: Bacterial small subunit ribosomal RNA
Source: RNAcentral
AUUGAACGCUGGCGGCAUGCUUUACACAUGCAAGUCGAACGGUAGAGGGGGCAACCCCUUGAGAGUGGCGAACGGGUGAGUAAUGCAUCGGAACGUGCCCAGUCGUGGGGGAUAGCGCAGCGAAAGCUGUGCUAAUACCGCAUACGAUCUCUGGAUGAGAGCGGGGGACCGAAAGGCCUCGCGCGAUUGGAGCGGCCGAUGUCAGAUUAGGUAGUUGGUGGGGUAAAGGCUCACCAAGCCAACGAUCUGUAGCUGGUCUGAGAGGACGACCAGCCACACUGGGACUGAGACACGGCCCAGACUCCUACGGGAGGCAGCAGUGGGGAAUUUUGGACAAUGGGCGCAAGCCUGAUCCAGCAAUGCCGCGUGCAGGAAGAAGGCCUUCGGGUUGUAAACUGCUUUUGUACGGAACGAAAAGGUCUGGGUUAAUACCCUGGGCACAUGACGGUACCGUAAGAAUAAGCACCGGCUGACUACGUGCCAGCCGCCGCUGUAA